This 370-nucleotide ribosomal RNA is filed under the name Syntretus sp. ex Tetragonula carbonaria. Its description in RNAcentral is "partial 12S ribosomal RNA". Lineage: Eukaryota; Metazoa; Arthropoda; Insecta; Hymenoptera; Braconidae. The record is from RNAcentral.
UAUUAUUUAAAAUUAAUUUAAAUUAAUUAGAACAUUAAAUGUUAAUCAUUAAAUUUAAAAAAUUUGACGGUAAUUUUUCUUAUUAGGGGAAUUUGUUUGAAAUUUGAUAAUCCACAUUAAAAUAGACUUUUUUUUCUUACUUAUAUACUUCUGUAUAACUAUUAUUUUAAAAUAAUUAAUUUAUGUAAAUUAAUUUAAUUUAUAUUUCAAGUCAAAGUUUAGUUUUAAAAAAGAGAGAAUGAAUUAUAUUAAAUUAUUUUAUAAUAAUUAGUUUAAAUAAUUAAAAUUUAAUAAUAAAUAAAAAUAAUUAUUUUUAUUGAAUUUGAAAAAAAUUAUGUACAUAUCGCCCGUCGCUUCUAAUAAAAAUAGG